GAUGAACGCUAGCUACAGGCUUAACACAUGCAAGUCGAGGGGAAACGGCAUUAAGUGCUUGCACUUUUUGGACGUCGACCGGCGCACGGGUGAGUAACGCGUAUCCAACCUUCCCAUGACUAAGGGAUAACCUGCCGAAAGGCAGACUAAUACCUUAUGGUCUUCACUGACGGCAUCAGAUGUGAAGUAAAGAUUUAUCGGUUAUGGAUGGGGAUGCGUCUGAUUAGCUUGUUGGCGGGGUAACGGCCCACCAAGGCAACGAUCAGUAGGGGUUCUGAGAGGAAGGUCCCCCACAUUGGAACUGAGACACGGUCCAAACUCCUACGGGAGGCAGCAGUGAGGAAUAUUGGUCAAUGGGCGAGAGCCUGAACCAGCCAAGUAGCAUGCAGGAUGACGGCCCUAUGGGUUGUAAACUGCUUUUGUAUGGGGAUAAAGUCAAUCACGUGUGAUUGUUUGCAGGUACCAUACGAAUAAGGACCGGCUAAUUCCGUG
Molecule: ribosomal RNA, 492 nt
Filed under: uncultured bacterium
Lineage: Bacteria
Description: partial 16S ribosomal RNA
Rfam family: Bacterial small subunit ribosomal RNA
Source: RNAcentral